This 509-nucleotide ribosomal RNA is filed under the name uncultured bacterium. RNAcentral describes it as "partial 16S ribosomal RNA". It matches the Rfam family "Bacterial small subunit ribosomal RNA", at positions 29 to 507 of the family's 1533-position model. The record is from RNAcentral.
ACGAACGCUGGCGGCGUGCUUAACACCUGCAAGUCGAACGAAGAGCGAUGGAAGCUUGCUUCUAUCAAUCUUAGUGGCGAACGGGUGAGUAACGCGUAAUCAACCUGCCCUUCAGAGGGGGACAACAGUUGGAAACGACUGCUAAUACCGCAUACGAUCUAAUCUCGGCAUCGAGGAUAGAUGAAAGGUGGCCUCUACAUGUAAGCUAUCACUGAAGGAGGGGAUUGCGUCUGAUUAGCUAGUUGGAGGGGUAACGGCCCACCAAGGCGAUGAUCAGUAGCCGGUCUGGCAGGAUGAACGGCCACAUUGGGACUGAGACACGGCCCAGAAUCCUACGGGAGGCAGCAGUGGGGAAUCUUCCGCAAUGGACGAAAGUCUGACGGAGCAACGCCGCGUGAGCGAUGACGGCCUUCGGGUUGUAAAGCUCUGUUAAUCGGGACGAAAGGCCUUCUUGCGAAUAGUGAGAAGGAUUGACGGUACCGGAAUAGAAAGCCACGGCUAACUACGUG